Molecule: transfer-messenger RNA, 384 nt
Filed under: Lachnospiraceae bacterium
Lineage: Bacteria; Bacillati; Bacillota; Clostridia; Lachnospirales; Lachnospiraceae
Rfam family: transfer-messenger RNA
About the family: Bacterial tmRNA, also known as 10Sa RNA or SsrA, is named for its dual tRNA and mRNA-like properties. Its role is to liberate the mRNA from a stalled ribosome. To accomplish this part of the tmRNA is used as a reading frame that ends in a translation stop signal.
Source: RNAcentral
GGGCUAGUAAAGGUUUCGACAGGGGUCUUGCAGCUGGAGAAGCUAUCCGUAUGCAAUGCGUUAAAUGGCAAACCUAAAUAUAAACGCUGAAGAUAAUACUCAGUUUGCAUUCGCAGCGUAAGCUGUGAGUGACGUCGCCUGAGGGCGGCUUGUUCCGCCUGCUGCACUCACACAGCGGGGCCGGGGCAUCAUGAUUGUGAGAAACGACACAUGCAAAGCUUUGAGCAUGCGGGCGUAAUAUGAAGCUACCGAAACAGGCAGGUUGUUCGUUUCCUGUCUGCGGAGGGAACAGGGAGCUUCGGGUUCCCGGGAUAACGGACUAUGAUAGUAGAAGGACAGGGAAUGGACUUUUGGACACGGGUUCGACUCCCGUCUAGUCCACUA